AUAAAGGAGUCAGGACAUGAGGUCAUUACAGAGAGUGAGCAGUAGUAUGAAGAAAAUAAAACUCAUAGAUGUGUGAAGAGUAAGUUGGGAGAGGUGGGGUAAUUCUACACUGGAUGGUCCUGAAGGUUUCUCCAAGGAGGAAGUGAAUGUAAACCCAUGUAGCCCAGCGCCUGGCAGGAGUUAAGAGCACCACAAAUGCUGUUCCAUUAAAAUAUGUAUAUAUACAAUUAUUUAUGUCUGGGACAGCCAGUGGAGUUUGCAAGCUGAUAUUCUGGCGUUACGAUCAUCUCCCCGGCCCUCUUUUCUUCAGCCUCCAAGCAAUGGAGAAAAACAGUAAAGCAAAGUACUUGGAGAGGUCUUUGUCGUUCUUCAGGAGGCUUCACAGGAAGAGGUUUCCUUCCCGGAUUCUGUGAUAUGCUGUGAUUCCCUGGGUGUAAACAGAAGGGAGUUGAAAUGGACUCAUUCGGUGAUCGUGAAGUGGGUCUUCCACUGUGGCUGCAAGAGCACUCAGGAUAUUGUCUCAUUUGUGAGGAGGGAGAGCCGAGAGGCAGAGAUGCCCAGGGAGACAUUGAGACCCACUCCUCCAGCCCUGUUUUGGUGAACGGCUCCAUUAUUUAGCCCAUAGAGGAGCCAGGAACCAUGGUGUCUGCGUGAGACUCUCUCUCUUGCAUUCAGGUGGUCACCGACAUCUCCAGGGUCUCCCCCUUUACUGUCUUACCCAUUCUGUUUUCUCUCUCUCCACCCCCACUGCUAUGGCCUCUUCUAGGCUUACGUCUACUCUCUCCCUCUGAUCCUCUAUAGGCUUCACUUGAAACUCUUUCCUCUAGUAGUUUUAAAAAUGUUAAGAUCUUUAGGGCAAAAACAAGGCCGCUUUCUCUUUUGCCUACUCUACAGUAGUGAUUCCUAAGUUAUGGACUGAGAACUCCUCGGAGCAACGGCUAAGGAAAUAUUGCAAGAGAUCCUUGGAUCUGUUGUCUGCGGAGUGGAUAAGUAAGUGCCUUAGUCUGUUUGGGCAGCUAUAACAAAGUACAUAGGCUGGGUGUCCAUAAACAACAGAAAUGUAUUUCUUAUAUUUGGGAUGCUGGAAGUCCAAGAUCAGUAUCAGCACGACGGGGUUCUGGGGCCCACGAUAGCAUUUUCAUCUAUAAGUGGGUCUUCGGCCUUGAGAAGGAAUCUUGGCCAUCACUGAGGUGAAGUACAGUGACGGAUGUGUUGGGGCACCUGGGUGGCUCAGUCCGUUCAGCGUUCCGACCCUUGAUAGUGGCUCAGAUCAUGAUCUCACGGUUUGGGAAUUGGAACCCAGCAUCUGGCUCUGUGCUGACAGGGUGGAGUCUGCUUGAAAUGCUCUCUCUCCUCCCCCCCUCUCUCUGCCCCUCCCCGACUCACACUUUGUUUCUUUCUCUCUCUCUCUCAAAAUAA
Long non-coding RNA from Neofelis nebulosa (Clouded leopard), 1419 nucleotides. RefSeq lists it as uncharacterized. The record is from RefSeq and is a predicted model, not a curated record. The transcript is spliced from 3 exons. NCBI's taxonomy places the organism in Eukaryota, Metazoa, Chordata, Mammalia, Carnivora, Felidae.